GCUUGGCUAGCUCAGUCAGGAAAGCAUGGGACUCUUAAUUCCAGGGUCGUGGGUUCGUGCCCUACAUUGGGUA
Molecule: transfer RNA, 73 nt
Filed under: Buceros rhinoceros silvestris
Lineage: Eukaryota; Metazoa; Chordata; Aves; Bucerotiformes; Bucerotidae
Rfam family: tRNA
About the family: Transfer RNA (tRNA) molecules are approximately 80 nucleotides in length. Their secondary structure includes four short double-helical elements and three loops (D, anti-codon, and T loops).
Source: Rfam by way of RNAcentral